RNAcentral lists this ribosomal RNA (409 nucleotides) under uncultured bacterium. RNAcentral describes it as "bacterial SSU rRNA". It matches the Rfam family "Bacterial small subunit ribosomal RNA", at positions 42 to 452 of the family's 1533-position model. The record is from RNAcentral.
UCAGGCCUAACACAUGCAAGUCGUACGAGGUGUAAAUAAUUCACUUGUGAAUUGUUUAUUACUACAGUGGCGCACGGGUGAGUAACACGUAAGAACCUGCCUUUUGGAGGGGGAUAACAUAGGGAAACCUUUGCUAAUACCCCAUAAAGCUGAGGAGCUAAAUCGCAUUUGCGGCCAAGAGAGGGGCUUGCGCCUGAUUAGCUAGUUGGGGAGGUAAUGGCUUCCCAAGGCCACGAUCAGUAGUUGGUCUGAGAGGAUGAUCAGCCACACUGGGACUGAGACACGGCCCAGACUCCUACGGGAGGCAUCAGUGAGGAAUUUUCCGCAAUGGGCGAAAGCCUGACGGAGCAGUACCGCGUGAAGGAAGAAGGAUCGUGGUCUGUAAACUUCUUUUCUCAGAGAAGAAGAU